RNAcentral lists this ribosomal RNA (237 nucleotides) under uncultured bacterium. RNAcentral describes it as "partial 16S ribosomal RNA". It matches the Rfam family "Bacterial small subunit ribosomal RNA", at positions 284 to 525 of the family's 1533-position model. The record is from RNAcentral.
UCGCCCGCCGCGCGCGGCGGGCGGGGCGGGGGCACGGGGGGCCUACGGGAGGCAGCAGUGAGGAAUUUUGCGCAAUGGGAGCAAUCCUGACGCAGCAACGCCGCGUGGGUGAUGAAGGCCUUCGGGUCGUAAAGCCCUGUCAGGUGGGAAGAAUGUCCCGGGACUGAACAGGUUUCGGGAGUGACGGUACCACCAGAGGAAGCACCGGCUAACUCCGUGCCAGCAGCCGCGGUAAUA